Aricia agestis (brown argus) is the source of this 218-nucleotide long non-coding RNA. RefSeq lists it as uncharacterized. The record is from RefSeq and is a predicted model, not a curated record. The transcript is spliced from 3 exons. NCBI's taxonomy places the organism in Eukaryota, Metazoa, Arthropoda, Insecta, Lepidoptera, Lycaenidae.
ACAUUACGCACCUAGGGCAGGAAAAUAAGAAAUGUCUCAGAUCACAUGUAAUCAACAAACAUGACUGUAAUCUAAGGCUUUCUUAUUUACUGCCCAUGGUGCGUAUGCUAUUUUUCUCCUCGACGGAGGCGAAAAACGUCAACAUCGGUAAGCGCAGCGGGACGAAAGUUUACGUUUUCCGCCCGGAUGUGAGAAAAAUGAUUUUUUCACUGUUAAUU